CCUACGGGGGGCAGCAGUGGGGGAUAUUGCACAAUGGGGGGAACCCUGAUGCAGCGACGCCGCGUGGGUGAAGGAGUGCUUCGGCAUGUAAAGCCCUAUCGGCAGGGAAGAAGCAAGACGGUACCUGACUAAGAAGCCCCGGCUAACUACGUGCCAGCAGCCGCGGUAAUACGUAGGGGGCGAGCGUUAUCCGGAUUUACUGGGUGUAAAGGGAGCGUAGACGGCAUAGCAAGUCUGAAGUGAAAGCCCGUGGCUCAACCGCGGAACUGCUUUGGAAACUGUUAAGCUGGAGUACU
This 296-nucleotide ribosomal RNA is filed under the name uncultured bacterium. Its description in RNAcentral is "partial 16S ribosomal RNA". It matches the Rfam family "Bacterial small subunit ribosomal RNA", at positions 338 to 650 of the family's 1533-position model. The record is from RNAcentral.